Molecule: non-coding RNA, 902 nt
Organism: Odocoileus virginianus texanus
Lineage: Eukaryota; Metazoa; Chordata; Mammalia; Artiodactyla; Cervidae
Source: RefSeq, a predicted model, not a curated record
AAAUUCCGCAAUGGCCGCCGGGAAACGUAGUCCGUUUGAUUUCUGCCUCCCGGGUGGAAAGACUAAGAAGAGGUUUUCUGGGCUUUGCUUCUUGGAGGGCAGGAUUUGAACGACUGUGGGUCUACACCCGGGGAGCCCUUCUCUCAAUGACUCCUGGAAGGUGCCCAGGAGCUGGAGCAUGUAGUUCCACAGUGCCCCGCUCCAGUUCUCCAUCUACUACUACUUUCUCCUGAACUUCCGCGCCUUGGUUUCCCUAUCUGCAGAAUAGAUACUUCAAAAGCCAAAAAUCCCAGCUGAGGAACAAGAGGUGAUCCCGUCAGAGCCAGAGAGAGCUCCCAUAAGGCCCUUCUUCAUUUCAUAGUUCACAAAGAGAGUGACAACCGCAGCGUCCUCCUUGCCUCUCCCCUCAGAGCCCAGAAACGUGAAAAGCAGCAGAAAACCUUUUCUUCUGCCGAGGUCUUAGGAAAAGGAAAAAUCAACUCCUCUGCUGGUGAUGAUCACAAGCCCUGGGCUCAGCCACACUACCUCAUUUUAAUUAGAAGACCAACACAGGUAAAUGAUCUCUGUUGUAUGGAAGUAGCUCCCUUCACUAGGAAUGUCUCCUGAAUACUUUUUUCAAAUGACAUUUCAUCUUGUGUUGCUGUGGUCAUGUUUUAUUCUCCUUAAUUUGUGAUUACAAUCCUUUAUACUGAUAGAUUUUGUGACUUUCAGCCAUCUCUGGCAUAUAUAUCCUUGUCAGCCAUUGUAUGUUGUUCUUUAAAACACUGCUCAUUCCAUGAGUGAGUAUUUUAUUUAGAAUGUUUGCAUCCACAUUCAAAAGCCAGAAUGCACUGUAAUUUUUUGUUGCACUUAUCAGGUUUUGGAGGUAAUGACCUAGUCUUUCAAAGUUAGAUGCAACUUGA